GCCUCCUUCUUCAUCGAAGACCGCCGAGGAGAGAAGCUGGGCUUCAAAGUCACCAUACUGCUGGCCAUCUCCGUCCUGCUGCUCAUCCUCAAUGACAUCCUGCCCUCCAUGUCCAACAAGACUCCCCUCAUAGCCACCUACUGCGUCGUGAUUUUCGCUCUGAUGCUGCUCAGCCUGCUGGAGACCAUCUUGGUUACAUAUUUCAUGGAGAAAGACUGUGCCUCCAAGAAGAAGAUCAGGCUGAGGGAAAACAGGGAGAACAAGCAGGACACCUUCAUCACAGAGGAGAAAAGACAAAGCGGCUGUCUGAGCAUCUGCAAAGCGUCAGAUGGUGAGAAACAACAUGAAUUGCUGCCGAUGGUUCAAGAGGUUAACAACAGCGUUCAGGCCCGAGAGAGUGACACGUUGCUGCUGAUCAUGGAGGAGCUGAAGGAGUUGCAGAAUAUUUUGAAUCUGCACCUCGUCUGUAGACAGGACGGAGGGAAGUCUGGCCUCUUGGCCGCAAGAAUCAACAGAGCUUUCUUCAUUUUCUACAUCACCAUCGUGUCACUGUUCCUCACCCUCAUCUUCAUCGCAUGGACCACUUAAACCUUUUUAACCAUGUUAAACCUUUAAGUCAACACAUGCCGUAUGAAUUUGAUGUAGAAUCUAGAAGUUGUGCCAUGUUUGGUAUCUACAAUGUCUCAUUGUGAAUCUAUUUAAUUCAGUUUAAAUGAGAUAACUUGAAUUGUAUUUACUCUAUCCUGCAGACUGGUGGCGCCAAAAUCUUUAGUGUUGAUGAAGAAAAGGUCCCUGCAGAGCUGUCUAGGGCAUUGCCUUUUAAUAAGAGUGUAUAAAAUGUGUGGGGAAUAAAUCACAAAAUAAUAAUAAUGUUUGAGUUUUGAAAAAGGCAAAAAGCAAAACAAUGACCGUUUUAAACAUAUUUGUGUGCUGAAAUAAAUAUAUCAAAACCUUGUGUUGUGUUUUUAAAUGGUUAAAGACGCUCAGCAUCCACCGGAGGGUUUAAAAUUAGCAUUUAAAUAGUUUUCAGAAGCUGAU
Gasterosteus aculeatus aculeatus (three-spined stickleback) is the source of this 1038-nucleotide long non-coding RNA. The record is from Ensembl. Lineage: Eukaryota; Metazoa; Chordata; Actinopteri; Perciformes; Gasterosteidae.